GCUGGCGGCGUGCCUAAUACAUGCAAGUCGUACGCUUCUUUUUCCACCGGAGCUUGCUCCACCGGAAAAAGAAGAGUGGCGAACGGGUGAGUAACACGUGGGUAACCUGCCCAUCAGAAGGGGAUAACACUUGGAAACAGGUGCUAAUACCGUAUAACAAUCGAAACCGCAUGGUUUUGAUUUGAAAGGCGCUUUCGGGUGUCGCUGAUGGAUGGACCCGCGGUGCAUUAGCUAGUUGGUGAGGUAACGGCUCACCAAGGCCACGAUGCAUAGCCGACCUGAGAGGGUGAUCGGCCACAUUGGGACUGAGACACGGCCCAAACUCCUACGGGAGGCAGCAGUAGGGAAUCUUCGGCAAUGGACGAAAGUCUGACCGAGCAACGCCGCGUGAGUGAAGAAGGUUUUCGGAUCGUAAAACUCUGUUGUUAGAGAAGAAUAAGGAUGAGAGUAACUGUUCAUCCCUUGACGGUAUCUAACCAGAAAGCCACGGCUAACUACGUGCCAGCAGCCGCGGUAAUACGUAGGUGGCAAGCGUUGUCCGGAUUUAUUGGGCGUAAAGCGAGCGCAGGCGGUUUCUUAAGUCUGAUGUGAAAGCCCCCGGCUCAACCGGGGAGGGUCAUUGGAAACUGGGAGACUUGAGUGCAGAAGAGGAGAGUGGAAUUCCAUGUGUAGCGGUGAAAUGCGUAGAUAUAUGGAGGAACACCAGUGGCGAAGGCGGCUCUCUGGUCUGUAACUGACGCUGAGGCUCGAAAGCGUGGGGAGCAAACAGGAUUAGAUACCCUGGUAGUCCACGCCGUAAACGAUGAGUGCUAAGUGUUGGAGGGUUUCCGCCCUUCAGUGCUGCAGCUAACGCAUUAAGCACUCCGCCUGGGGAGUACGACCGCAAGGUUGAAACUCAAAGGAAUUGACGGGGGCCCGCACAAGCGGUGGAGCAUGUGGUUUAAUUCGAAGCAACGCGAAGAACCUUACCAGGUCUUGACAUCCUUUGACCACUCUAGAGAUAGAGCUUCCCCUUCGGGGGCAAAGUGACAGGUGGUGCAUGGUUGUCGUCAGCUCGUGUCGUGAGAUGUUGGGUUAAGUCCCGCAACGAGCGCAACCCUUAUUGUUAGUUGCCAUCAUUCAGUUGGGCACUCUAGCAAGACUGCCGGUGACAAACCGGAGGAAGGUGGGGAUGACGUCAAAUCAUCAUGCCCCUUAUGACCUGGGCUACACACGUGCUACAAUGGGAAGUACAACGAGUCGCGAAGUCGCGAGGCUAAGCUAAUCUCUUAAAGCUUCUCUCAGUUCGGAUUGUAGGCUGCAACUCGCCUACAUGAAGCCGGAAUCGCUAGUAAUCGCGGAUCAGCACGCCGCGGUGAAUACGUUCCCGGGCCUUGUACACACCGCCCGUCACACCACGAGAGUUUGUAACACCCGAAGUCGGUGAGGUAAC
Molecule: ribosomal RNA, 1432 nt
Filed under: Enterococcus durans
Lineage: Bacteria; Bacillati; Bacillota; Bacilli; Lactobacillales; Enterococcaceae
Description: bacterial SSU rRNA
Rfam family: Bacterial small subunit ribosomal RNA
Source: RNAcentral